GCAACAUUCAUACAAAACCAUUAUGAGCCACGAAUAUCUUCAAGAGUCAUAAUACUAUACUAUUAAAGGUUUACUUUAGAGCAACAUUCACAUUUAAAGAGGUGUCCGUCAAAAUUAUAUCUUUGGAAUUAUCUGCCUUUGGAUGGUUUGGACAUUCAAACUUGAGUCUCACAUGUACAGGUCUUGUUAUGAUGAUUUCUUCUAAAUCUCUUUUUGAUGCAAGCAAGAACUGAAGAAUUACAUCUCUGCUUACCAUUGUCCCAGGGUUUAGCAGAUCUGCUAUCCUGUCUGCUUUCCGUUGUCUACUGUCACUACGGCCAUCUGAAUCCUUUUUCAGUCUCAGAUAUAGUGCAGCACU
This 358-nucleotide unclassified non-coding RNA is filed under the name Hevea brasiliensis (rubber tree). Lineage: Eukaryota; Viridiplantae; Streptophyta; Magnoliopsida; Malpighiales; Euphorbiaceae. The record is from RNAcentral.